RNAcentral lists this ribosomal RNA (1395 nucleotides) under uncultured bacterium. RNAcentral's name for it is "16S ribosomal RNA". It matches the Rfam family "Bacterial small subunit ribosomal RNA". The record is from RNAcentral.
UCCUGGCUCAGGAUGAACGCUAGCGACAGGCUUAACACAUGCAAGUCGAGGGGCAGCGGGGGCGAAGCUUGCUUCGCCUGCCGGCGACCGGCGCACGGGUGAGUAACACGUAUGCGACCUGCCCCCCGCAGGGGGAUAACCGGGAGAAAUCCCGACUAAUACCGCGUAACGCCGCUGGGCUGCAUGGCCCGGCGGCCAAAGGAAGCGAUUCCGGCGGGGGAUGGGCAUGCGGCGCAUUAGCUAGUCGGCGGGGUAACGGCCCACCGAGGCGACGAUGCGUAGGGGUUCUGAGAGGAAGGUCCCCCACACUGGUACUGAGACACGGACCAGACUCCUACGGGAGGCAGCAGUGAGGAAUAUUGGUCAAUGGGCGGGAGCCUGAACCAGCCAAGCCGCGUGAGGGAAGACGGUCCUACGGAUUGUAAACCUCUUUUGCCGGGGAGCAACGGGGUCCUUGCGAGGGCCCGAUGAGAGUACCCGGAGAAAAAGCAUCGGCUAACUCCGUGCCAGCAGCCGCGGUAAUACGGAGGAUGCGAGCGUUAUCCGGAUUUAUUGGGUUUAAAGGGUGCGUAGGCGGGCUGUUAAGUCAGCGGUCAAAUGUCGGGGCUCAACCCCGGCCUGCCGUUGAAACUGGCGGCCUCGAGUGGGCGAGAAGUAUGCGGAAUGCGUGGUGUAGCGGUGAAAUGCAUAGAUAUCACGCAGAACUCCGAUUGCGAAGGCAGCAUACCGGCGCCCGACUGACGCUGAGGCACGAAAGCGUGGGUAUCGAACAGGAUUAGAUACCCUGGUAGUCCACGCAGUAAACGAUGAAUGCUAGCUGUCCGGUUCUACGGGACUGGGUGGCACAGCGAAAGCGUUAAGCAUUCCACCUGGGGAGUACGCCGGCAACGGUGAAACUCAAAGGAAUUGACGGGGGCCCGCACAAGCGGAGGAACAUGUGGUUUAAUUCGAUGAUACGCGAGGAACCUUACCCGGGCUCAAACGCCAAAGGACAGCCGUUGAAAGGCGGCCUCCAUCCGGGGUCUUUGGCGAGGUGCUGCAUGGUUGUCGUCAGCUCGUGCCGUGAGGUGUCGGCUUAAGUGCCAUAACGAGCGCAACCCCCAUCGACAGUUGCUAACGGGUAGAGCCGAGGACUCUGUCGAGACUGCCGGCGCAAGCUGCGAGGAAGGCGGGGAUGACGUCAAAUCAGCACGGCCCUUACGUCCGGGGCGACACGCGUGUUACAAUGGCCGGUACAGCGGGAUGCCAGGGCGCGAGCCCGAGCGGAACCCGAAAACCGGUCUCAGUUCGGAUUGGAGUCUGCAACCCGACUCCAUGAAGCUGGAUUCGCUAGUAAUCGCGCAUCAGCCACGGCGCGGUGAAUACGUUCCCGGGCCUUGCACUCACCGCCCGUCA